Molecule: unclassified non-coding RNA, 177 nt
Filed under: Acholeplasma laidlawii
Lineage: Bacteria; Bacillati; Mycoplasmatota; Mollicutes; Acholeplasmatales; Acholeplasmataceae
Description: 16S-23S ribosomal RNA intergenic spacer
Source: RNAcentral
CUUUCUAAGGAGAAAGGCUAACUAACACUUAGCACAAGAUGACUACUAGUAAGUAGUAAUAUUCUCUAAAUUUGUUCAUCAUAUUCAGUUUUGAAAGACUUAAAGUAAUUUAAGUGUUUCAAGAAGUAAAGAAAGUCUUUGAAAAGUAGAUAAAUGAUGUCUGAAAAGAAAUAAGGU